AUUUUAUUUUGAGAAACGAUGUGGUAUAAUGAUGUGCGAUGUUUUACUUGAGUGGACAUAAACACCAUUUAGGUAUGCCUUGAAUAGAGGGGAUUAUUAGAAACCAGGAAUCACAAAAGGUCAUUAGCUAGCACAAUAACGUCUCCAUGAAUAGACGGGAUUAUAGUUAACAUAUUAUCACAAAAGGUCAUUAGCUAGCCCAAUAACGUCUUCAUCCACUAGUUGUACUCUAAUACCCUCUCAUGCGAAUACAAUGCCCUCAAUAUCAUAGAAACACUAUUUUUGUGUGGUGUUUUACUUGAGUGGACAUAAACACCAUCUAAGGAUGCCAUGAAUAGACGGGAUUAUUGGAAACCAGGUAUCACAAAAGGUCAUUAGCUAGCCCAAUAACGUCUUCAUCCACUAGUUGUACUCUAAUACCCUCUAGUGUGAAUACAAUGCCCACAAUAUCAUAGAAACGUCAUUUGAGGUUUAAAAGGUGAUCUAUUGUUUUGAAUUCUUUAUAUUCCAACUUUUUAGCAACUGUAUGGUGGAAACCUGUUAUCACAAAAGGUCAUUAGCUAGCCCAAUAAUGUCUUCAUCCACUAGUUGUACUCUAAUACCCUCUCGUGCGAAUACAAUGCCCUCAAUAUCAUAGAAACACUAUUUUUGUGUGGUGUUUUACUUGAGUGGACAUAAACACCAUCUAAGGAUGCCAUGAAUAGACGGGAUUAUUGGAAACCAGGUAUCACAAAAGGUCAUUAGCUAGCCCAAUAACGUCUUCAUCCACUAGUUGUACUCUAAUACCCUCUAGUGUGAAUACAAUGCCCACAAUAUCAUAGAAACAUCAUUUGAGGUUUAAAAGGUGAUCUAAUGUUUUGAAUUCUUUAUAUUCCAACUUUUUAGCAACUGUAUAGUGGAAAAAGGUGUCUUACAACCUUAACCUAUGUUUGGACAGUUCUCUCGUGCAAUUUGGCUAAAUUUCCCAUGGUCUUUAUUUUAUUUUGAGAAACGAUGUGGUAUAAUGAUGUGCGAUGUUUUACUUGAGUGGACAUAAACACCAUUUAGGUAUACCUUGAAUAGAGGGGAUUAUUGGAAACCUGGUAUCACAAAAGGUCAUUAGCUAGCCCAAUAACGUCUUCAUCCACUAGUUAUACUCUAAUACCCUCUAGUGUGAAUACAAAUGCCCACAAUAUCAUAGAAACGUCAUUUGAGGUUUAAAAGGUGAUCUAUUGUUUUGAAUUCUUUAUAUUCCAACUUUUUAGCAACUGUACGGUGGAAACCAUGUAUCACAAAAGGUCAUUAGCUAGCCCAAUAACGUCUUCAUCCACUAGUUGUACUCUAAUACCCUCUAGUGUGAAUACAAUGCCCACAAUAUCAUAGAAACGUCAUUUGAGGUUUAAAAGGUGAUCUAUUGUUUUGAAUUCUUUAUAUUCCAACUUUUUAGCAACUGUAUGGUGGAAAAAAGUUGUCUUACAACCUUAACCUAUGUUUGGACAGUUCACUCACGCAAUUUGGCUAAAUUUUCCAUAGUCUUUAUUUUAUUUUGAGAAAUGAUGUGGUAUAUUGAUGUGUGGUGUUUUACUUGAGUGGACAUAAACACAAUCUAAGGAUGCCAUGAAUAGAUGGGAUUAUAGUUAACAUAUUAUCACAAAAGGUCAUUAGCUAGCCCACUAAUGUCUUCAUCCACUAGUUAUACUCUAAUACCCUCUCGUGCGAAUACAAUGCCCUCGAUAUCAUAGAAACACUAUUUUUGUGUGGUGUUUUACUUGAGUGGACAUAAACACCAUCUAUGGAUGCCAUGAAUAGACGGGAUUAUAGGAAACCAGGUAUCACAAAAGGUCAUUAGCUAGCCCAAUAACGUCUUCAUCCACUAGUUGUACUCUAAUACCCUCUCGUGCGAAUACAAUAUCCUCAAUAUCAUAGAAACACUAUUUUUGUGUGGUGUUUUACUUG
RNAcentral lists this long non-coding RNA (1935 nucleotides) under Zea mays. RNAcentral's name for it is "long non-coding RNA (ZMAY_LNC005831)". Lineage: Eukaryota; Viridiplantae; Streptophyta; Magnoliopsida; Poales; Poaceae. The record is from RNAcentral.